UGCCAUGAUGGAGGAACUGACAGGCAA
This 27-nucleotide non-coding RNA is filed under the name Homo sapiens (human). Lineage: Eukaryota; Metazoa; Chordata; Mammalia; Primates; Hominidae. The record is from RNAcentral.